This 279-nucleotide ribosomal RNA is filed under the name uncultured bacterium. Its description in RNAcentral is "partial 16S ribosomal RNA". It matches the Rfam family "Bacterial small subunit ribosomal RNA", at positions 506 to 784 of the family's 1533-position model. The record is from RNAcentral.
UGCCAGCAGCCGCGGUAAUACGGAGGGGGCUAGCGUUGUUCGGAAUUACUGGGCGUAAAGCGCACGUAGGCGGACCGAUCAGUCAGAGGUGAAAUCCCAGGGCUCAACCCUGGAACUGCCUUUGAUACUGUCGGUCUGGAGUUCGAGAGAGGUGAGUGGAAUUCCGAGUGUAGAGGUGAAAUUCGUAGAUAUUCGGAGGAACACCAGUGGCGAAGGCGGCUCACUGGCUCGAUACUGACGCUGAGGUGCGAAAGCGUGGGGAGCAAACAGGAUUAGAUA